AUAAUGGGUCAGCGACUUAUAUUCUGUAGCAAGGUUAACCGAAUAGGGGAGCCGGAGGGAAACCGAGUCUUAACCGGGCGUUAAGUUGCAGGGUAUAGACCCGAAACCCGGUGAUCUAGCCAUGGGCAGGUUGAAGGUUGGGUAACACUAACUGGAGGACCGAACCGACUAAUGUUGAAAAAUUAGCGGAUGACCUGUGGCUGGGGGUGAAAGGCCAAUCAAACCGGGAGAUAGCUGGUUCUCCCCGAAAGCUAUUUAGGUAGCGCCUCGUGAAUUCAUCUCCGGGGGUAGAGCACUGUUUCGGCUAGGGGGCCAUCCCGGCUUACCAACCCGAUGCAAACUGCGAAUACCGGAGAAUGUUAUCACGGGAGACACACGGCGGGUGCUAACGUCCGUCGUGAAGAGGGAAACAACCCAGACCGCCAGCUAAGGUCCCAAAGUCAUGGUUAAGUGGGAAACGAUGUGGGAAGGCCCAGACAGCCAGGAUGUUGGCUUAGAAGCAGCCAUCAUUUAAAGAAAGCGUAAUAGCUCACUGGUCGAGUCGGCCUGCGCG
This 553-nucleotide ribosomal RNA is filed under the name Salmonella enterica. Its description in RNAcentral is "partial 23S ribosomal RNA". It matches the Rfam family "Bacterial large subunit ribosomal RNA", at positions 612 to 1165 of the family's 2925-position model. The record is from RNAcentral. Lineage: Bacteria; Pseudomonadati; Pseudomonadota; Gammaproteobacteria; Enterobacterales; Enterobacteriaceae. RNAcentral also lists the same sequence under 1 other name.